GAUGAACGCUGGCGGCGUGCUUAAUACAUGUAAGUCGAACGGAUGAUUAGCAAUAAUUAUUAGUGGCGAACGGGUGAGUAACGCGUUGGUGACCUGCCCCGAAGUGGGGGAUACCAGUUCGAAAGGACUGCUAAUACCGCAUGAGUUCGUGCGAGGUGAGACAGCACGAGGAAAGCUACGUGAGUAGCGCUUUGGGAGGGACCUGCGUCCCAUCAGCUAGUUGGUAAGGUAACGGCUUACCAAGGCGACGACGGGUAGGGGGCCUGAGAGGGUGACCCCCCACACUGGCACUGAAACACGGGCCAGACACCUACGGGUGGCAGCAGUAGGGAAUAUUGCACAAUGGGCGAAAGCCCGAUGCAGCAACGCCGCGUGCACGAUGAAGGCCUCGGUUGUAAGUAGCUUUCUGCAGGAAGAGGAAGGACGUGUACUGUAGGAAUAAGGAAUCGGCUAACUACGUGCCAGCAGCCGCGGUAAAACGUAAGCGUG
RNAcentral lists this ribosomal RNA (489 nucleotides) under uncultured bacterium. RNAcentral's name for it is "bacterial SSU rRNA". It matches the Rfam family "Bacterial small subunit ribosomal RNA", at positions 28 to 538 of the family's 1533-position model. The record is from RNAcentral.